CCUCAUUGAUCUCAAACAAGUCGAUGUCAUCAAGUUCUAAACCAGCCGCCUUAACUGCAGCAGGAAUGGCAACUGCUGGACCGAUACCCAUGAUUGCAGGGUCAACACCAACUGCAGCAAAUGUCCUGCAAUAUGUCCAAUAGUGUGCUAC
RNAcentral lists this small RNA (151 nucleotides) under Arabidopsis thaliana (thale cress). Its description in RNAcentral is "ATSL118400". Lineage: Eukaryota; Viridiplantae; Streptophyta; Magnoliopsida; Brassicales; Brassicaceae. The record is from RNAcentral.